GUUCGUCUAACACUUAGACAAGCCAUAAGGUAACUAGUUAAGUGAAUAAGAUUUAAUGAAGUUACAACCAACAAGCAGGCCUGAUUUGGAUUUCUUAUCUGAAAUUUGUAAUAAAUCAGUCUGCCUCAACCUUUUAAGUUUAAUUAGACCAUAACCAGUACGUGUAAGACAUGCUAAACUAUCUUUCUUUAAGUUGAGGAGACAUGUUUGAGCCUUUAACUGUUUAUGUGCUUUCCCCUAAUUUGCUUAAUGUAUUUUUGAUUGUCGUCAUAGAAUUUUGUCCUUUAAACCAUAAAAUCCCAAAAUCCCUUCCCUUUAGGAUUAGUAGUCCUAAAUGCCUUCGUGACUGAUAAGAUUGGGGAGGGUAAUAGCAUGCAAUAAGUAACGACACCAUUCCACGCUUUAAUACCUUAACGGGGUGGGAAAGGAUAGAUAUGGAUAUGAUAACCGGUACGCAAAUGCCACAUGUAGCCCCUCUUCUGAGGAGUGAUUACCGGGUAUUGCAUUGAUGUGAUCCAUAUUAUUUGUAAACAUAGGAUCCCCUUUCCCUUUACUUGUUUGUUUUAUUUUCAAAAUUUUAAAACUACUUAAAUUUUAGCUUUUCUUUAUUUUCUUUAACUUCAAUUACUUGCAAUCGUUAUGUGAAAACCCCUUGUAUAGGAAACCUUUAC
This 671-nucleotide long non-coding RNA is filed under the name Nicotiana benthamiana. Its description in RNAcentral is "long non-coding RNA (NBEN_LNC038200)". The record is from RNAcentral. Lineage: Eukaryota; Viridiplantae; Streptophyta; Magnoliopsida; Solanales; Solanaceae.